RNAcentral lists this ribosomal RNA (916 nucleotides) under uncultured bacterium. RNAcentral describes it as "bacterial SSU rRNA". It matches the Rfam family "Bacterial small subunit ribosomal RNA", at positions 614 to 1530 of the family's 1533-position model. The record is from RNAcentral.
UCCAGAACUGCCUUUGAUACUGAAGAUCUUGAGUUCGGGAGAGGUGAGUGGAACUGUGAGUGUAGAGGUGAAAUUCGUAGAUAUUCGCAAGAACACCAGUGGCGAAGGCGGCUCACUGGCCCGAUACUGACGCUGAGGCACGAAAGCGUGGUGAGCAAACAGGAUUAGAUACCAUGGUAGUCCACGCCGUAAACGAUGAAUGCCAGCCGUUAGUGGGUUUACUCACUAGUGGCGCAGCUAACGCUUUAAGCAUUCCGCCUGGGGAGUACGGUCGCAAGAUUAAAACUCAAAGGAAUUGAUGGGGGCCCGCACUAGCGGUGGAGCAUGUGGUUUAAUUCGACGCAACGCGCAGAACCUUACCAGCCCUUGACAUGUCCGGGACCGGUCGCAGAGACGUGACCUUCUCUUCGGAGCCCGGAACACAGGUGCUGCAUGGCUGUCGUCAGCUCGUGUCGUGAGAUGUUGGGUUAAGUCCCGCAACGAGCGCAACCCCCGUCCUUAGUUGCUACCAUUCAGUUGAGCACUCUAAGGAGACUGCCGGUGAUAAGCCGCGAGGAAGGUGGGGAUGACGUCAAGUCCUCAUGGCCCUUACGGGCUGGGCUACACACGUGCUACAAUGGCGGUGACAAUGGGAUGCUAAGGGGCGACCCUUCGCAAAUCUCAAAAAGCCGUCUCAGUUCGGAUUGGGCUCUGCAACUCGAGCCCAUGAAGUUGGAAUCGCUAGUAAUCGUGGAUCAGCACGCCACGGUGAAUACGUUCCCGGGCCUUGUACACACCGCCCGUCACACCAUGGGAGUUGGUUUUACCUGAAGACGGUGCGCUAACCGCAAGGAGGCAGCCGGCCACGGUAGGGUCAGCGACUGGGGUGAAGUCGUAACAAGGUAGCCGUAGGGGAACCUGCGGCUGGAUCACCUCC